GAAAUGGAUCAAUUAAAGAUUGAAGAGGUCGAUCUAUACAAAGCAAUUCUCAGCGCCAUGACACUUGGUGAAAAACAAACCAAUGGAAUACUCAGUGGAUUAGUGCAAUCGCGGAUUUUAUAGCUACAAAAAAUUUUCAGUAACUGUAAAUUUACUAUACUUUGAAAAAACGCAGUAAAUGAAGGCCAAAACAAACAAACUUACCUUAUAUCGGACCGGCUUGAUGAAACAUGCCCAAAACUUCAUAGAAGUAUCAGUAUUGCCGCCUGUGAUGAGGUUACUGGAAAAUUGUUCCAUAUGCAAACAAAACCUUCGACGAGUGUUUCAAACUGCAGAGUGGAAUAUUUAAAAUUGCAAACAUUAAUGAUCGUUUUACCUCUAGUAAAUUCGUUUUUUUGUAUCAUGAAAAUAUUUUACUAAAUGAAGCAUAUUUUUUAUCAGACUAUGCAAUUGAUAACAAGUCAGUAAUUACAAUAGGCUAGUGGAAAGCCAUUUUCAAUCCAGAGUUUGAUAGAAUUGGUCAAUGGAAUAAAUUCAUACUGUCCUUUCUGAAUUGAAAGUCCGUCAGGCAAUUCUUAUCUUGUUAUUUACUUUUUUCCUGGGGGGGGGGGGGGGCUUUUUCUGUAAUCAAAUUUUUCCAAUUUAAUAGACGGAACUAAUUAUUUCUGAAAAAUUUUGAUGUUCUUUGAUGAGUUGUUCCUUACAAUCUCUUGGAGGAUGAGCUCUUAAAAUAAACAUUUCUAAAGGGGCCAAUGAUGAAAAAAUAGGGCUAUAAAGUGAUGACUUUGGCGUCUCUAUCUUUCACUAUUAGCUAAUUUAUUUUUCCUCUUUUUUUCACCCAUUUUUUGUACUGAAGCAUCCUGAUCUCUUUUUUUACUUAGUAAAUUCGAUAUUUUUAUAUUUUAGGUAGACUUCAAAAAAGCUAUUAUGUUGUUUUUACUGUGUAGGUAUCUGUGAGCAAUAAAAACUGAAUUUCAAGCUGACAUGCUUCAAUUUAUUUUUCCGGUCAGGACGAUGGAUGUCAAUGACAGCAAUCUUGCAAAAUUGUCUGAAAGCACUAAAGCCCUGCCACCUUCUCACUGUAUAGCUCUUAAUGAAAACAAUUAACAUUACUCAAGUGCUUCUAUCAACAAAAUAUCCGAAGUCUUUUUUAAUGUUUAAACAUGUUGGUAGCGGUAUUUAAAAUUUCUAUAAGGAAGAGUCACCUUUAUACCGCGCAUUACAUUUAUUUUAGUUAAAUCUGUACAUAUGCUCGAGGCCUUUCGGGAUUACCCCAUCUUCAAGAGCACUACUAAAAUUACACACUACAACAGGCACAUAAUUACAGUGAUAAAUAAUGCCUUGAGCACACAAACUACAUUACCAAAUUAAAACAUGCUACCUCAUAAUUACAAGUAAAUAAAAAGACAAGUGACGAAGUAGGUACAUAACAAAGCAAAUCAAGAUUGUUUGUACUUCGUCACUUGUCUUUUAUAUUUACUUGUAAUUGAAGACACCGCACCAAGAACAGCCUACAGGCGUAUAGGUCGUUAUUACGCCCAUCUGCUUUUCGGAUUCUAUGCACCCUGGACUAUGCUGUGGUAGCGAUAGAAUAUAGGUAGGUAACGGCUCGAGGUCGAAAAACCUUUUUUUUCCAAGUUAAGUCAGGCCUCUGGAUCAAUUGGUGCAAGAAUGACCUAUAAACGGGCCUUGGACGUAUUUCUAUCAAACGGAACUAUGUGCAUUAUGACGUGAGCCCUGUUAUACACAUAUUCUUAUGGGUCUCAGGGCUCAUGUCUUAAUGCACAUAGUUCCGUUUGAUAGAAAUACGUCCAUUUAUACUUCAUAUUGCCACCAAAAUGACUGUUGGGCGUAAUAAUGACCUAUAAACCGCUUUUUUAAAUUAAAUAUAUUAGAGUGUAAACCCAAAAUGUAUCGCAAAAUCUACCCGGCAUCCUUUAAUAGAAAGGUUAGGUCACCCAAAAACACCAAAACAGGGUAUCUGCAUUGAAAAGUCUGCGCAGUACAUCAAAACCAAAAGAGGUUGUCCCAUUUUCCAUAGGAAAUGGCCGCGAUAGCUUUUCCAUCCAUACUUUCAGGAAUCAUAACGUAUCAUUGGAGAGGCCUAAAUCCGGUGCCAUUUCUCGUCUAGCCCCGCAGGGGGAAGGGCAGGGGGUCAAAGGUCAAACGCUCCGACCGCCAUAACUUUUGAACGAAUCGUCAGAUCAACUUGAUCUUGGGCUCAAAUGAAAGCUCUUGACGAGACCUUUCAUUUGAUGUAUAGUUCCUAGUGUCUAUUUUUGGUAAUUUUUCAACGUAAAAAAAAAUCAUUUUUUGAUUUUUCAAGCCCAAAGAAUUCAGAUUUUCGGGGUUUUCUCUAAAUGGGAACGCAUGAAUCAUUACAAAAACCAAUUCAAAUGAAAGCCCUUGACUCAAGCUUUAAAACGAGCUAUCGUUGAACUUGGGAAAAUGAAUGGUUCAAAAGUUAUGACCGUUCAAAGUUGGCGUGGCGCGCUAUUUUCGAAGCGCGCGGAGUGUAUACUCGCGUGCCACCCCUCCCCUACCUUUCCCCCUGGGGCCCGCUUCAGUUGAUAACGGAUAUAGAAAGGUCCAAAGCUCCUUCCACCUAAAGAAUGACCAGUCAUUAGUGUUAAAUUCCUUUCAUUUCUAACGAAAAAAGGGAAAUAAAAAUAAAUUAUAAAUGCUAAUAAACGAUAAGACGCUGGCAUACCUACAGUAUUUUUUCGCCCCCCCCCCUCCAUGAUUUAAUAUUUGAUGUAGGUAUCCAAAUCAAGCCUCUCAUCAUUACGGUAUCUCAUUAUUCCCGUGUAGGUAAAUCUUGAUGAGAGGGAAAUAGAUCGGAGAGAGGUGAGGGAGAGAUAUUCAGUAGUAGGUAAAUGCGAGUUUCAAGUACCUACUGGUCGGCUAGUUGCCGAACCCCCGUAGAAAACCCCGAAAAACUGAAUUUCUUGGGCUUGAAACAUCAAAAAAUGAUUUUUUUACGUUGAAAAAUUACC
This 2996-nucleotide long non-coding RNA is filed under the name Bemisia tabaci. RNAcentral describes it as "lncRNA ENSASIAIIG010056". Lineage: Eukaryota; Metazoa; Arthropoda; Insecta; Hemiptera; Aleyrodidae. The record is from RNAcentral.